This 234-nucleotide ribosomal RNA is filed under the name Actinomadura decatromicini. Its description in RNAcentral is "Actinomadura sp. CYP1-5 partial 23S ribosomal RNA". It matches the Rfam family "Bacterial large subunit ribosomal RNA", at positions 2698 to 2925 of the family's 2925-position model. Lineage: Bacteria; Bacillati; Actinomycetota; Actinomycetes; Streptosporangiales; Thermomonosporaceae. The record is from RNAcentral.
CGGACGGACCUCUGGUGUGCCAGUUGUCCCGCCAGGGGCACGGCUGGUUGGCUACGUCCGGUAGGGAUAACCGCUGAAAGCAUCUAAGCGGGAAGCCUUCCUCGAGAUGAGUUCUCCCACCCCGUCAAGGGGUGUAAGGCCCCCGGGAGACGACCGGGUUGAUAGGCCGGGGAUGGAAGCAUCGUAAGGUGUGGAGUCGACCGGUACUAAUAGGCCGAGUGGCUUGAACACACA